AAUAAAAUAAAGAACAAUUUAAAACAUAUCGAACUGGAGGAAAUUGUGAUUUAAACUACUUGAAAACUAAAGAACAAUUGAUUAAAAGUGAAUCGAAAUUCGAAACAGAUCGAAUUGACUGAGACUAUAAAUUCAACUUGAAGAGCGAGAAGAACCCAAAACAUCAUCUUUGCCUCCAAUCAAUUUCUGUGAACUCAGUGUCAAUGAACAGCUACUAGACUUCUUAUAAGUCGUUCUUAGUCUCUCCUUCACGCUCGCACAUCAUUCUCUAUCUACUUGGCUUCUUCUUUACACGAUAAAGAGAGUGAGAGAGAUGCUUCAGACGAUGUCACCAUCUUUGGCGAUUCAUAGUUAAAAGGUUAGUAGUAAACUACUUUUCCUUUUGUUCUAAGCAUUUCUCCCAUAGUAAUUGUUGGAUUUGGUUGAGUUUUGGUAAAAAUCAUCAUUGAUGGUGCCUUGAGAUUAUUAGCAUGGCUAUCUCCGCUAAUUGGACAAACAUCACAUCAAAUUAAUACCAAACUUGUGAUCCUUGUGAUUAAAGAAGUAAAUUGGUAUAUUUUUUAUGGCAAUCCAAUUUUCUAGCCCUGCCGCCCCAACAAUAAUGAUGGCAAAAGUGGUCGUCGGUGGAAUAAUUCCGAAGUUCUGACAAGUCAUAGAAGACAUAAUCUUCGUCUUUUUGUGUGGAUUGCGAUAAUAUAAGCAUUCUUUUUAAUAGGUGAGUAUUAGGCUCUGAUUCCAGUUCACUACAAAAAAAUGGAUUUUAGUAAACGAAUUUAGCGGUUGACUUGACGCUUUCGCUAAAUAGUGACAGAUCAGCGGCCGACUAUGAGGGAAACUGAACGUGAAACUUGUGUACUUUUACCGACAGAAUCAGCAACUAUUAACGACAGGUAUAGCGAGGGACCCAACAUCCGUCACUCAUUUUCACGCGAAGAAUUGGAGCCAACCAAAGGUAAAGAUCAGCGACUAAUCAAUGACCACCAUGACGAUGAAAUAGCGACGGGUGUGGAUUCCUAGCUAUAUUUGACGGGAAUUAAUAGUGACCAAUUAGCGAUUAUUGGGAAACAGAUGUGACGAUCAAAAUUCCAAUAACAUUAGCGACCGAGUUGAUAAUAUAGCGACAGAACUUAUUUGCCAUGUCAAUUAAAAUAGCGACCGAUUUUGUUAAAUUACGAUCGAUACGGCGGUCGCUAAUUUUGUAGGGCGAUUUAGUCGCCUUUCUCUCUCACGCGAGACUAAUUUCAAAAAAUCAGUCUCAUGCCUCUCUCCCUCCCUCUCUGUCUACUUGCUCCCUCUACAUCUCUAGCCCUAUCUCUCACUUCCGCACCGGUGAAGAGCGCAGCUCGUCUCGCUGCCGUCGAGCAGCACCGCAAGCCAAUAAGUUGAACCGUCAGCCUAUCCCUAUGGAAGUCUUCAUAUUUACACAUAAGAAGGACCAUGAUGCAGUCACAUUCAUUGAUAGGCGUGCCGAGCUUGUUAGUAUAACUACACUAUUAGGAAAGAGUGAGCUACUGCAUCUCCGGCUCAAACUGCUGAGCAGCCUAUGAUCGAGGAGUUGCAGUUUUAUCUUUAGGCUGCAGGAGGCGAGAAGAAGAGAAAAGUGUAUAGGAUUGAUUUACAGUCAGACAUUUUCUAUAGCCGCACGUAUGGGGCUUAGCGAGUAGAGCCACACUAGUUGAGCCAGAGGCACGUACUGAGGAGAUUCAAGAUUUACGGGCUGAACUUUAGGCGUAGCAGCAGCACAUAUCACAACUUAUAUUGCAGCAGCAGUAGCUGAUGCAUAUGUAUGCUUGAGAAUGGCCUACUACACUGCCAACUCUCUCUGCACCGAUAGAUCACUUUGAUUCCCCAACUUCUUCAACAUUGCCUGCUUCUCAGAGUCCCAUUACAAAUCUUGCAGAUCAAACCCCCUUAGACUUUUUUUAUUAUCAUGUUUAUUUUGUAUAUAUAUUACUGUAUAAUUUGUAUAAUU
Long non-coding RNA from Jatropha curcas, 1972 nucleotides. RefSeq lists it as uncharacterized. Lineage: Eukaryota; Viridiplantae; Streptophyta; Magnoliopsida; Malpighiales; Euphorbiaceae. The record is from RefSeq and is a predicted model, not a curated record.